Silurus meridionalis is the source of this 798-nucleotide long non-coding RNA. RefSeq lists it as uncharacterized. The record is from RefSeq and is a predicted model, not a curated record. The transcript is spliced from 3 exons. Lineage: Eukaryota; Metazoa; Chordata; Actinopteri; Siluriformes; Siluridae.
CAGCACUUUCAUGUCCUCUCUCCUCGUAGGAACGUGGCAUUGACUGAAGACAGCAUUGUCCCAUCUGGCACACGCAGCCGUGCUUUCUGUCUUACCUCCAGUUUUCCGCGCUCCUAAUCUCCUAAUAGAACUUCUGGAUUAUAAAGGAAGAGCGCAUAUUAAGCAGAUCGUUCGUCUUUUACCCCCCGCUCUGCAACAAGCAACGUCUUUUGGGGAAUGGACUGGCGGGGCCUGUCAUUGGAAUAAAAUAUGGAGAUAUGAUGUACAUGAGAAAGGAAUCUCAGGGAACGAUCAUCAUAUUCUCUGAAUGCAGCGUGUCCUUCAGUUGUCUUGGUGAUACACAGUUUACUCCAACUGCACAAGCACGCCAGCAUCUAAACAGAAUGAGCCAUGAUUGAUGGGACAAGAAGCUGAGAUAACUGUUUAUCAGUCCUAAACUAUGGGAAAACUGUUUCAACCAGGCCAAAACAUCUCCAAACACUCAUCUAUUUUUUUUUAGAUUCCUUCUCUUGGAGUUUCCAUGGAGAGUAAAGCACCAUAACCACAAUCUUCCCACGUUUGUCAGAAUGAACCUCCACAGACUGCAUUCUUAUGCAGCACUGAUUGGGAACCACCAGCCACGCCUCCCCUCUGCAUUCAGCACACUCGCAGCUCCUCGCCUUCAUACUAAUCACCAAGGCAUCAAAACUAUGAAUUAACACAUGUGGAAUUAUAUAUGGAAUUAUAUACAUAACAAAAAAUUGUGAAACAACUGAAAAAUGUCAUAUUCUAGGUUCUUCAAAGUAGCCACCUUUUGCU